Molecule: long non-coding RNA, 1138 nt
Organism: Beta vulgaris subsp. vulgaris (sugar beet)
Lineage: Eukaryota; Viridiplantae; Streptophyta; Magnoliopsida; Caryophyllales; Amaranthaceae
Exons: 2
Source: RefSeq, a predicted model, not a curated record
CUUCUUUUAACAAUCCGAACUAUUGAUUAUCCCACAAUAAUCCCAACUACUAACCCCAUCUUCUAAAAAUGAUCCCUUUAACCUAUAAACCUACUACAAUAGGUAAAUCUUAAACAUGUGACUUACACAUGAUUUUUAAUGAAAUUUUUUUUUUUCCCUUUUGUUUUUCUAUUUUAAUGCCUUUGACUAAAUUUUUUCCUCCCUCUUUACUUCACCCCACAUUUUCUCUCUCCUCUUUCUCCCUCUUUUCUUUUCUACACUGAUGUUCUUCUCCCUUUGCCUUCUUCACGAUACUUUGUUGAUUUCAAAACAAAGUCACCAUUAGCCACUUCAAUUUUGCUCCAAAAAAUUGAAUUUCGUUCAUGACUCUUCAUUUUGUUCAAUCUCCAUUAGCGGCCAUGGCACAAAAUUCGCAACACAGGAGAAUGUCAUUUUGUUAAUUUCAGGAGGAAGACUGGAUUUUUUCAAUGGUUGUAUGAUACUGAGCCUACUCAAUGCAAUGGGUAUAAAAGGUUGAAUGGAGGAUUGGAAGACACUGGCCAUUGUGCAAUUGCUGCAGUUCUACCUUGCCAUGGCCGCUAAUUAAUGGAGAUUGAACGAAAUUGAAGAAUCAGGAACAAAAUUCAAUUUUUUGGAGCGAAAUUGAAGUCGUUAAUGGCGACUUUGUUUUCAAAUCCACAAAAUGUCGUGAAGAAGAUACAAGGAGAAGAACAUCAGUGUGAAAGAGAAUAAGAAAAGAGGGAGGAGGAGAGAGAAAACGUGGGGUGAAGUAAAGAGGGAGGAAAAAAAUUAAGUCAAAGGCAUUAAAAUAGAAAAACAAAAGGGAAAAAAAUUCAUUAAAAAUCAUGUGUGAGUCACAUGUUUAAGGUUUACCUAUUGUAGUAGGUUUAUAGGUUAAAGGGAUCAUUUUUGGAAGAUGGGGUUAAUAGUUGGGAUUAUUGUGGGAUAAUCAAUAGUUCGGACUGUUAACGGAAGAAAGCGCAUAGUUCGGAUUGUUUUUGUCAAUUUUUCCUAAAUAGUAAGGUUAGUUGGUCUUUUUGUAGACCAACUAAUUUUCUUUCAAUUUUGUAAUGUCUUAAUUUUCAAUAAAACUUAUAUGAACUUGGUCCACACUAAAUUAGUGUGGACCUAAUGUUAA